RNAcentral lists this ribosomal RNA (253 nucleotides) under uncultured bacterium. RNAcentral's name for it is "partial 16S ribosomal RNA". It matches the Rfam family "Bacterial small subunit ribosomal RNA", at positions 524 to 776 of the family's 1533-position model. The record is from RNAcentral.
UUCGUAGGGCGCAAGCGUUAUCCGGAAUUAUUGGGCGUAAAGAGCUCGUAGGCGGUCUGUUGCGUCGGCUGUGAAAGCCCGGGGCUCAACCCCGGGCCUGCAGCCGAUACGGGCAGACUAGAGUUCGGCAGGGGAGACUGGAAUUCCUGGUGUAGCGGUGAAAUGCGCAGAGAUCAGGAGGAACACCGGUGGCGAAGGCGGGUCUCUGGGCUGAUACUGACGCUGAGGAGCGAAAGCGUGGGGAGCGAACAGG